Molecule: transfer RNA, 69 nt
Filed under: Cnemaspis sundainsula
Lineage: Eukaryota; Metazoa; Chordata; Lepidosauria; Squamata; Gekkonidae
Description: tRNA-Ala
Rfam family: tRNA
About the family: Transfer RNA (tRNA) molecules are approximately 80 nucleotides in length.
Source: RNAcentral
GAGGUUUUAGCUUAAUUAAAGUGUCUGAGUUGCAAUCAGGCGAUGCAAGUUAGAGUUUUGCAGGCCUUC